AGAAGCUUCUUCUUUAUUUUUUUUAGGAAGAUUAGCCCUGAGCUAACAUCUGCUGCCAAUCCUCCUCUUUUUUUUUUUUUUUUUUGUUGAGGAAGACCAGCCCUGAGCUAACAUCCAUGCCCAUCCUCCUCUACUUUAUAUGUGGGACGCCUACCACAGCAUGGCUUGCCAAGUGGUGCCAUGUCCACACCCAGGAUCUGAACUGGCAAACCCCGGGCCACCGAAGCAGAAUGUGCACACUUAACCGCUGCACCACCAGGCCGGCUCUGGUAGAAGCUUCUUAACCAGUCUGUCCACAGCCAUUCUGGCCUUCUGCAGGCUUCUCCAUACUGCUUACAGUGAUCUUUCCAAAUCUCAAGCCCAAUCGUGUCCUACCACACAUCCCUUCCAUUCCUGUUUAAAACCUUUUAAUGCAGUGGUAGUUUAAUAGCCCCAAAUUCCUCUGCAAUGUUGCUUCUCCCAUCAAAAUUGAGGUCUAUUUCCCUAUCCCUUGAAUCAGGGCUCACCUCGUGACUUGCCUGGACUAAUAGAAUGUGGCAGGAGUGACGUUGUGUGAGUUCUGGAACCUAGUACAUCAGAGGCCUUGCAGCUUAUGGUUUUGUCCCUUUGGAACACUGCCCUGAGACCACCAUGAGGGAAGUUUACUGGCAGAUUAGAGCACAUGGACGAGAACUGAGGAACCCCGGCAAUAGCCAGCAGUAACAGCCUGAUGUACCAGUGAGGCCAUCAGAUUUUCCUGCUCAGCUGCCCUGCCAGCGGAAUGCAGCCACAUGAGUGAGCCCAGUGCAGCCUCACCAUGUCAAGUACCCAUUGAAGACUCUGAUCACACCACAUACUUUCCUCUGGACUUUGGACAACCAAAGUUUGUGUUUGUUUGGGGGUUAUUUGUUUGUCUCUCCCAUCUGAAAACUCCACGAAGGUUGUUCUGAGCCUGAUUUUGUUCACCACUGUAUCCCUGUGACGCACCAUAGUAGGAGUCCAGAAAUAAAUACGUGUUAAUGAAUGAGGUGAGCGAUAAAUAUGGCAAUUGAGGUGUGACAAUAAAGGAAGGUUUCCUAUGAGGGGUUUCUAAACUGCCUGUGAAGGUAAUUCUAAGAGGAGUUUUUUAAAUGUUUUGAGCAAUAGAGGAGGCUUCGUUAAAAUAAGUACAUAGCCCUGCAAGGUAACUAUUUAAGGAGAGCACAAUUUUGAACUUAUAAAUUCUUGUAUGUUUGUUACAGAAUAACUAAUCACAGUUUAGUCAUACAUUUUACCCCUAUGUUUCCUCUACAG
This 1272-nucleotide long non-coding RNA is filed under the name Equus caballus (horse). RNAcentral's name for it is "lncRNA (ENSECAG00000053731.1)". Lineage: Eukaryota; Metazoa; Chordata; Mammalia; Perissodactyla; Equidae. The record is from RNAcentral.